RNAcentral lists this non-coding RNA (183 nucleotides) under Lawsonella clevelandensis. RNAcentral's name for it is "TPP". It matches the Rfam family "TPP riboswitch aptamer (THI element)". Rfam says of the family: Vitamin B(1) in its active form thiamin pyrophosphate (TPP) is an essential coenzyme that is synthesised by coupling of pyrimidine and thiazole moieties in bacteria. The previously detected thiamin-regulatory element, thi box was extended, resulting in a new, highly conserved RNA secondary structure, the THI element, which is widely distributed in eubacteria and also occurs in some archaea. Analysis of operon structures identified a large number of new candidate thiamin-regulated genes, mostly transporters, in various prokaryotic organisms. The record is from RNAcentral. Lineage: Bacteria; Bacillati; Actinomycetota; Actinomycetes; Mycobacteriales; Lawsonellaceae.
GAUUUAUUUCCCGGGAGCCUCCGGGUCUGUCCGGUCUGUGGCAGGCUGUCAACUACCGACGGAUCCUCCGCUGGUGAGGUGUGAUGUCGUCACUGAGCGGAGAGGCUGAGAGGGACUCGUGGAGUCCGACCGGUUGAACCUGCUCCGGAUAAUUCCGGCGAAGGGAGCGCGCUUUUAUGUUUG